Molecule: long non-coding RNA, 316 nt
Organism: Danaus plexippus (monarch butterfly)
Lineage: Eukaryota; Metazoa; Arthropoda; Insecta; Lepidoptera; Nymphalidae
Exons: 2
Source: RefSeq, a predicted model, not a curated record
AUUCAAUUCCGGUGCCGGCGGUUUAGCGAACCAGCUUAUGCACACGGGUGGAAUGGGAAACUUCCAUGAUGUCGGCCAGCAUCACAGCAGCCUCAGUUCCAUCACCCAAGCCGAGAACACAGACAACCACAACAUCGGCGGAGGCCAAGUGUUCGACACAGGCGCCCUGUCUGGCACAGGCUUUAACCAGUUCGGGAACGGUGGCAGCCGUUAUGGAAACGGCUUCGGAAGCGGACAGCUAAUGAACUCGUUCAUCUAAUAUAUGUAUAUAUGUGAUUAAAUUAAUUGUAACAAAUAAAUUAGGAUAUAAAUUUUA